Molecule: transfer RNA, 76 nt
Filed under: Hymenobacter sp.
Lineage: Bacteria; Pseudomonadati; Bacteroidota; Cytophagia; Cytophagales; Hymenobacteraceae
Description: tRNA-Thr
Rfam family: tRNA
About the family: Transfer RNA (tRNA) molecules are approximately 80 nucleotides in length. Their secondary structure includes four short double-helical elements and three loops (D, anti-codon, and T loops).
Source: RNAcentral
GCUCGUAUAGUGAUAACGGUUAGCACGUCUGUUUUGUAAUCAGACAGUCCGGGUUCGAUUCCUGGUACGAGCUCCA